Molecule: non-coding RNA, 1126 nt
Organism: Lupinus albus (white lupine)
Lineage: Eukaryota; Viridiplantae; Streptophyta; Magnoliopsida; Fabales; Fabaceae
Source: the annotation of a GenBank genome assembly
GUAGGCGAGCGAGUUAUCGAAGACGCUUAGGCUAAUAGAGAAGAGAGCGUCAGUGCGUAGCCUUCAUUCUACUACGCUACGCAAAGGUUACGAAGUAACUUAGCUCGACGUUAGGAGAGUCAAGGGGGAAGGCCAUACCUACAUAGAAGAACCGCUGUUCGCUGACUUUCUAAGGUCUAACCUUUCGCUCCCCUACUGAAAAGGGGCACAAAGCCGCUUUGCACCACUGAUAGACUACUUCAGAUUCAAUUCAAAGGGCCCUACUUAGUUAGUUUCGCAAGCCUUUGUCAUUGUCAGUCAACUAAGUAGGUCGUUCCGCCCCCUGCGAAUCCGUAAAUCUGAGGAGCAUGCCGCAACACAACAAAAGGAUGGUCCCCUAUGCAUUUCAUUCUUUCCGGAAGGGAAAAAAAAGAAAAGUACCCCCAUCAUGGUGAACCUCUCCUUGUGAUCGGGAUGAGGUAGAUGCCUCCCAGCUGGGGGGCGGAUCGAAUCGGAGUUUCCUUAGGUAGCCACCGACCUACAGUUAUCCUUAAACUUCCGUGCUUGGUGGAGAAGAAGCGAACAAAGGUACGCUCGCUUGCUGUCUUGUUCUCUGCCGCGAACUGGGAUCGCUCGCCAGCUAGGUCAGAUUGGAGCAAGAAUUUAUGAGAACAUAUUACCCAUCUUCGGGGACAAGGGGCGGAACGACCUCUCGAUCUGCUUACUGCAGCCCAGGAAUAAAAACGUCGUCUAGGCUUUCCUUCUUGCUCCGAUCUCCCCGACGCCUAGGACGUUGUCUGGGCCAAGAGCCAUAGUGAAUUGCUGUUUAAAUUGUUUUUUUCUUGUUGUUGAUACCGGCAAGACCCAGCCAGAUGAUGUCUGCUGGUUGGUAGUGAGAGGACUCGUAGUACCUGCAUACCCAAAAGAAAAGGAGGCGCUGAUUAAAAAACAAUAAUUUUUGAUUUUUCUUACUUUCCCUUAGCAGCGGGAAAGGAGUCUAUCUAUCUGCCUAGCUUUGGUAGAUUUUCCCCAACGCAAUCCAUAGAAAUUCCACGAAUCCCUUGGUGGAUAAGUCCGACGACUCAGCAGCUGUGCGGAAUUGAGUUUAUCGUCUGGUGGAUCUGAUCUUUAGGGGUCAAUACAUACC